GUAAAGUUUCAGCUUAUUUUGCAUGUCUUCCGCGAGACUUAAGAGUCGGGUUGCACGGGUUUCAUAUAGUGACGGAUGAUUCACGAAUCAACCGGUUCUUUUGAAUGAAUCUUUUAAAGAAUCGAUUCACUCAUCUACACAACCAAUUCAAUCUGAGUCUAUUCCAGGAACACUGGGAGUGAUGCAGGAAUCAAGUUUAUACAAGAAGAUUCACAUACCUGCAGGGUUUUUGGGAGGAAACCAGAAAACCCAGAGGAAACCUGGGAAGACGUAACCUGAGAUCGAACUUGUGAUCCUGGAGCUGUAAGACUGCAAUGCUGAACUUUAAUCAGCUGUGAAUAUUAGCAGUUAUACUGGACUGUGAAUUGAAAACAUGGUGCAUGGUUUAGAGCUGUUGUGGGAUUUUACUGAUGAUUCCAAAAACAGACUAGAGGAUGUUUGCAUAAAAUAAAUACACGAAUAAAUCA
Molecule: long non-coding RNA, 467 nt
Organism: Tachysurus fulvidraco (yellow catfish)
Lineage: Eukaryota; Metazoa; Chordata; Actinopteri; Siluriformes; Bagridae
Exons: 2
Source: RefSeq, a predicted model, not a curated record